GUGGGGAAUAUUGGGCAAUGGGCGCAAGCCUGACCCAGCAACGCCGCGUGAAGGAAGAAGGCUUUCGGGUUGUAAACUUCUUUUAUGAGGGACGAAUAGAUGACGGUACCUCAUGAAUAAGCCACGGCUAACUACGUGCCAGCAGCCGCGGUAAUACGUAGGUGGCAAGCGUUAUCCGGAUUUACUGGGUGUAAAGGGCGUGUAGGCGGGACUGCAAGUCAGAUGUGAAAUUCCAGGGCUCAACCCUGGACCUGCAUUUGAAACUGUGGUUCUUGAGUGAUGGAGAGGCAGGCGGAAUUCCCUGUGUAGCGGUGAAAUGCGUAGAUAUAGGGAGGAACACCAGUGGCGAAGGCGGCCUGCUGGACAUUAACUGACGCUGAGGCGCGAAAGCGUGGGGAGCAAACAGGAUUAGAAACCCGAGUAGUCC
RNAcentral lists this ribosomal RNA (427 nucleotides) under uncultured bacterium. RNAcentral describes it as "partial 16S ribosomal RNA". It matches the Rfam family "Bacterial small subunit ribosomal RNA", at positions 354 to 796 of the family's 1533-position model. The record is from RNAcentral.